This 393-nucleotide ribosomal RNA is filed under the name uncultured bacterium. RNAcentral describes it as "partial 16S ribosomal RNA". It matches the Rfam family "Bacterial small subunit ribosomal RNA", at positions 523 to 918 of the family's 1533-position model. The record is from RNAcentral.
AUACGGAGGAUGCGAGCGUUAUCCGGAUUUAUUGGGUUUAAAGGGAGCGUAGGUGGGAUAUUAAGUCAGCUGUGAAAGUUUGGGGCUCAACCUUAAAAUUGCAGUUGAUACUGGUUUCCUUGAGUACGGUAUAGGUGGGCGGAAUUCGUGGUGUAGCGGUGAAAUGCUUAGAUAUCACGAAGAACUCCGAUCGCGAAGGCAGCUCACCGGGCCGGAACUGACACUGAUGCUCGGAAGGGCGGGUAUCAAACAGGAUUAGAUACCCUGGUAGUCCGCACAGUAAACGAUGAAUACUCGCUGUUUGCGAUACACUGUAAGCGGCCAAGCGAAAGCGUUAAGUAUUCCACCUGGGGAGUACGCCGGCAACGGUGAAACUCAAAUGAAUUGACGGGG